CCUACGGGUGGCAGCAGUGAGGAAUAUUGGUCAAUGGACGAGAGUCUGAACCAGCCAAGUAGCGUGAAGGAUGAAUGCCCUAUGGGUUGUAAACUUCUUUUAUAUGGGAAUAAAAUGUUCCACGUGUGGGAUUUUGUAUGUACCAUAUGAAUAAGGAUCGGCUAACUCCGUGCCAGCAGCCUCGGUAAUACGGAGGAUCCGAGCGUUAUCCGGAUUUAUUGGGUUUAAAGGGAGCGUAGGUGGAUUGUUAAGUCAGUUGUGAAAGUUUGCGGCUCAACCGUAAAAUUGCAGUUGAAACUGGCAGUCUUGAGUACAGUAGAGGUGGGCGGAAUUCGUGGUGUAGCGGUGAAAUGCUUAGAUAUCACGAAGAACUCCGAUUGCGAAGGCAGUUCACUGGACUGCAACUGACACUGAGGCUCGAAAGUGUGGGUAUCAAACAGGAUUAGAUACCCUUGUAGUC
RNAcentral lists this ribosomal RNA (460 nucleotides) under uncultured bacterium. Its description in RNAcentral is "partial 16S ribosomal RNA". It matches the Rfam family "Bacterial small subunit ribosomal RNA", at positions 338 to 795 of the family's 1533-position model. The record is from RNAcentral.